This 253-nucleotide ribosomal RNA is filed under the name uncultured bacterium. Its description in RNAcentral is "partial 16S ribosomal RNA". It matches the Rfam family "Bacterial small subunit ribosomal RNA", at positions 524 to 776 of the family's 1533-position model. The record is from RNAcentral.
UACGAAGGGGGCUAGCGUUGUUCGGAAUCACUGGGCGUAAAGGGCGCGUAGGCGGCCGAUCAAGUCGGGGGUGAAAGCCUGUGGCUCAACCACAGAAUUGCCUUCGAUACUGUUUGGCUUGAGACCGGAAGAGGUUAGUGGAACUGCGAGUGUAGAGGUGAAAUUCGUAGAUAUUCGGAAGAACACCAGUGGCGAAGGCGACUCACUGGCCCGUUACUGACGCUGAGGCUCGAAAGCGUGGGGAGCAAACAGG